CUAAUCACCUCCAUAGUUUCUCAAACAGUUUCAUCUUCUCCGAUAAAAACUCAUCCGUCUCUCAUCAAUCAUUACGCUCUUUACUUCGAUCCAUCAUCGUCUUGAUAAUGAUUUCGUUUCGCCUUCCUCUUUUCCUCUUUCUUUAUAUAUCCAUCUUCCUUUCUUUCAACAAACCAAAACCCUAGAUCUACUCCACUCUCAAUCCAUGGCGAUGAUGAAACCAAAUGGAAAGUCCCAUGUCUCCUCCGUUUCUGAUGAGAAAAUCAUGUUCUUCAGAGAUAUCUCUUUUGGUCCCCACGAAACUCAGUUGCGCUUCCGUCUUCUCCACUUCUGGGAGGCGUGGAACCCAAGUGAAGAAGGUGCUUAUUGGCCUCGAAAUGUUCCUCAUCGACGAACAAGGGAACUGUUAUCCAAGGAUUUAUUCCGCCAGGCCGUAUCGAGAAGUAACGGCCUCAUAUGAAACGAGGAUCAGUUUACAAACUCAACAACUUCUAUGGAUCGAAAAACAAAGAGCUGUUUCGUGUUUCUGAUCAUAGCUUCACGGUGUCGUUCUCAUGGAACUCUGAAAUGUCUGGUUCUUCAGGACAGCUCCAUCCCCUUUGAUGAAGACAGAUUCCGGUUUCAUUCGUAUGAGGAAUUUGAGGCUAACUGGGAACUCAAAGGUGACCUCUAUGAUGUUGUUGGGCAUGAAGCUGGUUAAUGGACAGAGUCUCACUGAACGUCCAGUCCUUGACGAAGUGGAGAUAGCAGCUACGAGGCAUCUGGUGGUUCAUGUACAAUCACAUGAAUGUGUUACCUUCUUUCCUAAACACCCCUUUCUGUAUUACUUAUAACCAGCAAGUGUUGAUUCUUUUGUAGUGGACCUAUGAUGAAGCUCUACCUUUGGGACCAGUCUUGCAACAGACUUCUGCAAAAAAUUCAAGGCCUGCGAGAAAACACUCCCACCGUCAUACUGGUCACGACGGUUAACACCAAGCGUCUAGGAGGUUCUCCUUUCCCUUUUAGCGGAAAAAGUGCCUAUUUCAACAUGAACUUUACCCGUCGUGCCUAUUCCUUUACGAACUUUGUAGCAGUGCGUAUUCCACACUGAACUAAACAAAUUUUUUUAAAUACUAUAUGAACUUUAUGCGUCGUGUCUAUUCCUUCACGAACUUUAUAGUAGUGCGUAUUUCACAUUGAACUAAACAAAAAUAAAAAAAAUACUGCAUAGACUCUCAAAAUAGUGCUUAUUUCAAUAUUGAGCGUUAAAUGUGUUAGUCAUCCGUUAAUUUAUCAAAACAACGUCAUUUUGAAUAAAUUUUGUGAAAUUAAAAAUCAAAAUAAAAUAUAGACUCUUAAAAUUGUGCUUAUAUAUAUUGACUGUCAAAUGUAAUAGUCAUCCUUUAAUUUACCAAAAACCUCUCAAAAUUGUACUUAUAUAUUGACUGUCAAAAGUGAUAGUCAUGUUUUAAUUUAUCAAAAGAUUUUAUUUUGGAUAAAUUCUAUGAAAUUAUCCAUCAAUUUGUAAUUUUUUUUUUUUUAUAAAAUCUAUCAAAAUGACGUUAUUUUGAUAAAUUAACGUAUGACUAACACUUUUGAUUUCUUAAACAGAAAAAUACUAACACUUUUGACGGUUAAUGUACAUAUAUAUAUGACUACACCUUUGAUUUGCUGACAAAAAAAAGACGAACACCUUUGACGCUCAAAAUCGUGAUUAUAUAUAUACACCGUCAAAGAUGUUAGUCUUUCUUUGUCAGUAAGUGAAAGGUGUUAGUCAAGUCAUACAUUAGUUUAUUAAAACAACGUCAUUUUGGAUAAAUUUUUUGUAAAAUGAAAAAAUUAAAAAACGACGGACAAUUUCAUAGAAUUUAUCUAAAAUAGUCUUUUGAUAAAAUCAAUGAUGACUAUUACUUUUGACAGUCAAUAUAUAUAAGCACAAUUUUGAGAGUGUAUUUUAUUUUUAAUUUUUAAUUUUUAAUUUCACAAAUUUAUACAAAAUGACGUUGUUUUGAUACAUUAACGGAUGACUAACACAUUUAACACUCAAUAUUGAAAUAAGCACGAUUUUGAGAGUCUAUGUAGUAUUUUUUGAUUUUGGUUUAGUUCAAUGUGAAAUACGCACUACUAUAAAGUUUGUGAAGAAUUAGACACGACGCAUAAAGUUCAUAUAGUAUUUAAAAAAAUUUGUUUAGUUCAGUGUGGAAUACGCACUACUACAAAGUUCGUGAGGGAAUAGGCACGACCCGUAAAAUUCAUAUUGAAAUAGCAGGUACUCUAGCACUGAGCUCAAUGUAUUCUUCACGUGUUUUUAUGGACUACGAUGUCCAACCUACCAGAGAUUACUUCGCCUGGUUGGGCUCUAACCCAGAGGUUGCUAAGCUGGUUAAUGCGGAGGUGAUCACUAAGACUUAGAUACUGACUAUAAGCGAGAUAUUCUCCUACAUCCAACAGGAAUCUGCAAAGGAGGCUUAUUUUGAGUGCAUAGCUACGAUUGAUGAUGUCGUGCAUGGCUCUGCAUGGUACUAUAUUGCAUGCAGUGAGUGCAAAACUAAGGCUACCAAAGGCCCGACUUCGUUGAUAUUUAACAAAUGUACCGUGCGCAGAUAUCAGUUUAUGACAAAAGUGAACAAGGUGUUUUCGUCCUCCUUGGUGAUGCUGGUCGUCAGCUGACUGGGAAGCACGGAAUUGGUUAGCAGCUACUUUGAGGCCAACGGAAACGAAGGAGUUAAUCACGCGGUGCCUGUCCCGGAAGCUCUAAUCAGCACCAUCGGACAAACACAUAAGUUUUGUGUGAAAGUUACAGAUCACAACUUAUCAGGAAAGACCUGAUCUCUAACUGUGACCAAGAUCCUCUCUUUAGACACUCCACCAACAAAAGAAACCUCGGAAGGAAUCCACAAUGAUGCAAGGAAGAACCAUUUGAGACUGGAAACAAGGUGUGUAAAGCUUCCAAAAGCCGUGUGCAUUCUGCAGAGGGGAGUAAGAGGACUUGUGACAGUGUUGAGAUAGAGAAAGCUAAACGCCCCAAGUGUGGGAAUUAGAGCUUCCGUAUGUCUUCUCAGAUCUUGCAAGGGAUUGCAGUUUAAGUGUUUGUUUCCAGUUUAAUUAUUAACUCAUGAUUUCCAUUCAGUUUUUUUUUUCUCAGAGCUUUUUCGCCUUGCAAA
Molecule: long non-coding RNA, 3143 nt
Organism: Raphanus sativus (radish)
Lineage: Eukaryota; Viridiplantae; Streptophyta; Magnoliopsida; Brassicales; Brassicaceae
Exons: 8
Source: RefSeq, a predicted model, not a curated record